UCUAGCUCAGUUGGUUAGAGCAUGGUGCUGAUAACACCAAGGCUGCGGGUUCAAUCCUUGUAAAG
Molecule: non-coding RNA, 65 nt
Organism: Podarcis lilfordi (Lilford's wall lizard)
Lineage: Eukaryota; Metazoa; Chordata; Lepidosauria; Squamata; Lacertidae
Source: the annotation of a GenBank genome assembly